GCUUCUCUGAUGUUAGCGGCGGACGGGUGAGUAACACGUGGAUAACCUACCUAUAAGACUGGGAUAACUUCGGGAAACCGGAGCUAAUACCGGAUAAUAUUUUGAACCGCAUGGUUCAAAAGUGAAAGACGGUCUUGCUGUCACUUAUAGAUGGAUCCGCGCUGCAUUAGCUAGUUGGUAAGGUAACGGCUUACCAAGGCAACGAUGCAUAGCCGACCUGAGAGGGUGAUCGGCCACACUGGAACUGAGACACGGUCCAGACUCCUACGGGAGGCAGCAGUAGGGAAUCUUCCGCAAUGGGCGAAAGCCUGACGGAGCAACGCCGCGUGAGUGAUGAAGGUCUUCGGAUCGUAAAACUCUGUUAUUAGGGAAGAACAUAUGUGUAAGUAACUGUGCACAUCUUGACGGUACCUAAUCAGAAAGCCACGGCUAACUACGUGCCAGCAGCCGCGGUAAUACGUAGGUGGCAAGCGUUAUCCGGAAUUAUUGGGCGUAAAGCGCGCGUAGGCGGUUUUUUAAGUCUGAUGUGAAAGCCCACGGCUCAACCGUGGAGGGUCAUUGGAAACUGGAAAACUUGAGUGCAGAAGAGGAAAGUGGAAUUCCAUGUGUAGCGGUGAAAUGCGCAGAGAUAUGGAGGAACACCAGUGGCGAAGGCGACUUUCUGGUCUGUAACUGACGCUGAUGUGCGAAAGCGUGGGGAUCAAACAGGAUUAGAUACCCUGGUAGUCCACGCCGUAAACGAUGAGUGCUAAGUGUUAGGGGGUUUCCGCCCCUUAGUGCUGCAGCUAACGCAUUAAGCACUCCGCCUGGGGAGUACGACCGCAAGGUUGAAACUCAAAGGAAUUGACGGGGACCCGCACAAGCGGUGGAGCAUGUGGUUUAAUUCGAAGCAACGCGAAGAACCUUACCAAAUCUUGACAUCCUUUGACAACUCUAGAGAUAGAGCCUUCCCCUUCGGGGGACAAAGUGACAGGUGGUGCAUGGUUGUCGUCAGCUCGUGUCGUGAGAUGUUGGGUUAAGUCCCGCAACGAGCGCAACCCUUAAGCUUAGUUGCCAUCAUUAAGUUGGGCACUCUAAGUUGACUGCCGGUGACAAACCGGAGGAAGGUGGGGAUGACGUCAAAUCAUCAUGCCCCUUAUGAUUUGGGCUACACACGUGC
Molecule: ribosomal RNA, 1159 nt
Filed under: Staphylococcus aureus
Lineage: Bacteria; Bacillati; Bacillota; Bacilli; Caryophanales; Staphylococcaceae
Description: bacterial SSU rRNA
Rfam family: Bacterial small subunit ribosomal RNA
Source: RNAcentral